This is a non-coding RNA of Cricetulus griseus (Chinese hamster), 1962 nucleotides long. NCBI's taxonomy places the organism in Eukaryota, Metazoa, Chordata, Mammalia, Rodentia, Cricetidae. The record is from RefSeq and is a predicted model, not a curated record.
ACUUCAUUUUGUCCUCACAGCAAAACCAGAAAUGAGAAGCCUCAGUGAGAUUCCCCAUUUUACAGUGAGAAACAAGCACGGUGUGUGCACUCUGUACAUCGGAAACCAGAGCCUGAAGUUGAACUUGGGUCCUUUCCAGCAUCACAAGACACAGAAGUCCUGGGGCAGCAGGGACACUUUUGACACCUCCCACCUGUAUGUCCACCUCAGGCUGUGCCCUCCAUGCCUUUCCUGCCCCAGACUCCAGGAACUUGCCCAACUCUCUGCCACAUUCCUGGCAUGGCUGUUGCAGAACUUCCGGUGGCCUUGUAAGAACAGGAUCACUCUUUGGCCACCUGGCCCUUGGAAUUCCAACAUUGCUCUGUGAAAGCUGGGGAGACUGACACCUACAGAACAAAGCUACCUGAUACUAAGGGGCUGGCCUCAAAUCCACUAUGCAGCCAGGGAUGACUGAACCUCUGACCUCCAGCCCCAGCUCCUGAGUGCUGUUUUAUGAGGUAUGAGGAAUCAAACCCAGGACUUCAUGCAUGUGAGCACUCUGUCAACUGAGUUAUACCCCAGGCCCUCAUUUAUUUUUUUUCAGCUAGAUCUCACUCUUUGGCUCAGGAUAGUUUCGAACUUGAGAUCAUUCUGCCUCUGCCACCCAAAACGCUGCCGUUCCUGGCCUGUGCCACUAGUCCCAGAAGAUCACUGCUGUUUAACUCGGUUGUUCUGGUGGUGUGUGUGUAGGAUUUGAUCACACCUGGCGUGCUCCUCUUUACACUUCUGGCUUCUCACACUGGGACCCUUUGGAGACUUUGUCUUCCUCCCCCUCCUCCCUCUACACCACACAGGACACAGCCCAUGCUAAGCUUCCUGCACAUGUGAUCAAGGUCUGGGCCUCUUUCUCAGCUCUGGUCCAGAGCUGGUGAGCAAGGCUUCAGGACCAAGGCCCCUGCAGAGCCCUUAUCAUCCAGCCCCACACAUCCCAGAGAGCCUGGGAUGGGCAGCCCACCCUGAUCCCAGCCCCACACAAACCCUGUUAUCAGGGGACACAUUCCAACCCAUGCUCUGUCCUCUUGCACUGGGUAAGAUAGAGCCUGUUGUCUUCCGGCCAAGUGGGAAGGGGCACAGGAAAGCAGAGGUUAUCUCAGCAGGAAGCCACACUGCUGGGCUGUUUCUUCAACCAGCUUGAGAAAACACCUUGGGGCUGCCCUUUUGGGCCAGCCUCAGCCAGAAGGUAGCUGGCUUGGGACCCCUGCUGGGGCUGAGGUCAGGAGGCUAUGUGUCUGUUCCCAGGAACCAGGAGGUGGCUUCCCUGACCUGGGGAGGCUCCUGAACACUUUUCUCCGGGCCUGGCUUGUCCCUACACCCAGGAAGCACGUGGUCUGUGGGAGGGUCCUCAGCACAGCUAGUGAAGGUGCAGAGCAGGGCUGCUUAGUGGAAAGUUUAGAGUCAUGAAUCAGAGCCUCAAUUUUAUCAUACUUUUCUUUUCUUUUGACAGGGUCUCUCAUUUGUUGUUCUUGCUGUCCUGGAGCUUGCUCUAUAGACCAGGCUGGCCUCCAACUCUCAGAGAGGCACCUGCCUCUGCCUCUGCCUCCCAAGUGCUGGAAUAAAAGGCAUAUGCCACUAUGCUGAGCUUCAGUUUUCUUAAACUUAAGUUAUGAACAAUGGACGAUCAUGUCUUAGGUAUCAGUGUCUUGAGGGGCUUAGUAUAGAGUCUGGUACCUAGGCUGGAUGUGGAGGCACAAACCUAUAAUCCCAACACUUGGGAGGCAGAGGUGGGUUCCUCUCUGUGAGUUAGAGGUCAGCCUGGUCUACACAUAACAAGUUUAGGAUAUCCAGGGAGACAGAGUGAGACCCUGUCUUGGGGGAUGGUGGGAGAGGGAGCUGGGUGUGUUGAUGCACAGCUAUAAUCUGAGCACUUAAGAGAUUUGAAGAAAAAUCUCAAAUUUUUGAGAUGGUGGUGGCGCAUGCCUUUAA